GUCUGUGGCCACAGCACCCUCAACGUCCACGAUCUUGUGUGAUCUUGGAAGCUAAGCUUGGUUGGGCCUGGUCAGUACACGGAAGGGAAGAAGGGACACCUGGCCGCAGAAAACG
Molecule: ribosomal RNA, 115 nt
Organism: Colobus angolensis palliatus
Lineage: Eukaryota; Metazoa; Chordata; Mammalia; Primates; Cercopithecidae
Source: Ensembl